Molecule: ribosomal RNA, 643 nt
Filed under: uncultured bacterium
Lineage: Bacteria
Description: bacterial SSU rRNA
Rfam family: Bacterial small subunit ribosomal RNA
Source: RNAcentral
CGCGGCCUAUCAGCUUGUUGGUGGGGUAAUGGCCUACCAAGGCGACGACGGGUAGCCGGCCUGAGAGGGCGACCGGCCACACUGGGACUGAGACACGGCCCAGACUCCUACGGGAGGCAGCAGCGGGGAAUAUUGCACAAUGGGCGAAAGCCUGAUGCAGCGACGCCGCGUGAGGGAUGACGGCCUUCGGGUUGUAAACCUCUUUCAGCAGGGACGAAGCGUAAGUGACGGUACCUGCAGAAGAAGCGCCGGCCAACUACGUGCCAGCAGCCGCGGUAAGACGUAGGGCGCGAGCGUUGUCCGGAUUUAUUGGGCGUAAAGAGCUCGUAGGCGGCUUGUCGCGUCGACUGUGAAAACCCGCAGCUCAACUGCGGGCCUGCAGUCGAUACGGGCAGGCUAGAGUUCGGUAGGGGAGACUGGAAUUCCUGGUGUAGCGGUGGAAUGCGCAGAUAUCAGGAGGAACACCGGUGGCGAAGGCGGGUCUCUGGGCCGAUACUGACGCUGAGGAGCGAAAGCGUGGGGAGCGAACAGGAUUAGAUACCCUGGUAGUCCACGCUGUAAACGUUGGGCGCUAGGUGUGGGGGACCUCUCCGGUUCUCUGUGCCGCAGCUAACGCAUUAAGCGCCCCGCCUGGGGAGUACGG